Molecule: long non-coding RNA, 1300 nt
Filed under: Sorghum bicolor (sorghum)
Lineage: Eukaryota; Viridiplantae; Streptophyta; Magnoliopsida; Poales; Poaceae
Description: long non-coding RNA (SBIC_LNC010104)
Source: RNAcentral
GUCAUAGUGGUAUGGCAGGCACUACUAAGGGGCUUUAGCUCCGGAUUCCGAGCCGGGACUAUGCUUCUAGGACUAAAGGCCCCCCCUUAGUUCCGGCUCCGUGCACUAGGGCCAAAGCUCCACCCUUUAGUCCCGGGCGGUAUUACCAGCUGGGAUUAAAGGGUGCUGCCAGCGGUGCCACGCAGCAGCACCCUUUAGUCCCGGCUGGUAGUACCGCCUGGGACUAAAGGGCCCCCUUGUUUUUUCUUUUUCUUUUCUUUUCAGUUCUGUUUUUUUAGUUUUGAUUAUUUAUACAAUAGGUUUUCCAAUAUGUAUUCGUUGAUGCUAAUAUAUAUAUAUAUAUAGAAGUUGUUCUCUAAAUCUAUUACUGCACAAGUUGUACUCCAAAGUUAAUACUCUAAACCUAUUACAAGUUAUACUUCAUCAUCCAAAGAUCUACAAAACAUACAAAUGAUCAUCAUUGUUUAGAAUCAUCUUCUCGUUAGGAUUAUAGUGGAACUCGCCGCUUGGAUUUAUGACUUGUUCCCGAAGAAAUCAUGCUAUUGCCUCUUGUAUUGCUUGGAGUUGUUCAUGUUGUAUGAGUUUUUGCUUCAACCAUUCAGUCUUCAAUUUGAAUUAAAAGAAGGUAUUAGUUAUAUCAAGAUUAUCAAUAGUAAUUCGAGAGAAAAUGAAAAGAGACAUGUGUUACAUACUCUGAGGUAUUCUUUAGGAAUUCUAUUUGUUAUUGUCGUAAUAUACUCGCAAACGUAGUAUCCACAUAAGUUGUUCCCCGGUUCUUGUCUCAAGAUCCACUAUAGGAUGUAAAGAUUCAUCUCGUAAAAAAGACAAGAUAUAAGAUAUACCACGUACAUUGACGAGAAGGAUAAACUUACUCGUAGCAGUAUUAUCUUUAGUGGUGCCCUACGUUGAGUUAGAUGUUCACAAACAAUAAAUCUUUCCUAAACCUUAAACCAAUGAUAUAUUUGAAACAAGAGAGUUGGAUCGUUAAGUAUGCAUAUAUACAAGCAUAGUCUACUUUACGCAUGCAAAUGGAUCGACAUUACCUUUAAAUGAUGUCUAUCAUAUCUUGGUAAUAUUGUUGCGAUUUAUUCAUUGAGUCAUAGAUUACCAACUUACUUUCAGCAAGAUCAAUGACUAUGAGUAUCCAGUAAAAGCUGUUCAUAGAGACAUGAGUCGUAGAUUAGGAUUAAGUAAAAUUAAAGGUGCACACUUGCAUGUUAACUAUAUAUGUAUAACUCACUUGAAGUUGCAGGGGAAGAGUAUUCUUUUUUUGUCUUUUUGGUUCAUGAAGAACCUCAUA